UAGCUGGGAUUACAGGCAUUUACCAAAAUGUAAUAGAAGAGUUGGAAUUAAAGUUGACAACUAGGCAUGGCGGUACAUGCCUGUAAUACCAGCUAUUGAAGAGGCUGAGGCAGAAGAAUUGCUUGAGAACAGAAGUUGAAAGCCAGCCCAGAUAAUAUGUGUGUAUGUGUGUGCGUAUAUAUAUGUACGUGUGUUUGUGUAUUUGUUUUUGUUUUUUAAGAAAGGAUCUCUCCCUACUCAGGUCAAUGUGCACAUUUUAUAAAUAGCCUCAGCUGGCUAAUUACCUAUGGGCCUUUUUUUUUUCUUCACUUGAAGAAAAAAAUAAAGCAUAAAAAUAAAAUGGCAAACAAAAAAAUCUCUCAGAAGGGCUAGGGCUGUAGCUCAGUGGUAGAGCACUUGCCUAGCAUGUGUGAGGCACUGGGUUCGAUCCUUAGCAUCACGUAUAAAUAAAUAAAACAAAGGUUCAAAACAAGCUCUCCCAGAAAGUAAAGCCAAAAAGACAAAUAUGGAAAACAGAGAAAAGAUAGGAAAAUAAGAUCAGCCUGCACAGCCACAUCAAUGUUUAUAGCAGCACAAUUCACAAUAGCUAGAAUGUGGAACCAACCUAGAUGCCCUUCAAUAGAUGAAUGAAUUAAAAAAAUGUGGCAUUUAUACACUAUGGAAUAUUACUCAGCACUAAAAAAAUAACAAGAUCAUGGCAUUUGCAGGCAAAUGGAUGGCAUUAGAGCAGAUUAUGCUAAGUGAAGUUAGCCAAUCCCUAAAAAACAAAUGCCGAAUGUCUUCUCUGAUAUAAGGGGGGUGACUCAAAAUGGGAUAGGGAGGAAGAGCAUGAGAAGA
Molecule: long non-coding RNA, 837 nt
Filed under: Marmota monax (woodchuck)
Lineage: Eukaryota; Metazoa; Chordata; Mammalia; Rodentia; Sciuridae
Rfam family: tRNA (bases 371-442)
Source: RNAcentral